AUUGAACGCUGGCGGCAUGCCUUACACAUGCAAGUCGAACGGCAGCGCGGGGCAACCUGGCGGCGAGUGGCGAACGAGUGAGUAAUAUAUCGGAACGUACCCUGGAGUGGGGGAUAACGUAGCGAAAGUUACGCUAAUACCGCAUACGAUCUAAGGAUGAAAGUGGGGGCUCGCAAGACCUCAUGCUCCUGGAGCGGCCGAUAUCUGAUUAGCUAGUUGGGAGGUAAAGGCUCACCAAGGCGACGAUCAGUAGCUGGUCUGAGAGGACGAUCAGCCACACUGGAACUGAGACACGGCCCAGACUCCUACGGGAGGCAGCAGUGGGGAAUCUUGGACAAUGGGCGCAAGCCUGAUCCAGCCAUGCCGCGUGAGUGAAGAAGGCCUUAGGGUUGUAAAGCUCUUUUACCAGGG
Molecule: ribosomal RNA, 411 nt
Filed under: uncultured bacterium
Lineage: Bacteria
Description: bacterial SSU rRNA
Rfam family: Bacterial small subunit ribosomal RNA
Source: RNAcentral